GGUGAUGUGGCUGAGUGGCCGAAAGCACCUCCCUGCUAAGGAGGCAUAUCUAUCACAGGUAUCCAGGGUUCGAAUCCCUGCAUCACCGCCA
RNAcentral lists this transfer RNA (91 nucleotides) under Pseudomonas sp. Leaf58. RNAcentral's name for it is "tRNA-Ser". It matches the Rfam family "tRNA". From Rfam's summary of the family: Transfer RNA (tRNA) molecules are approximately 80 nucleotides in length. Their secondary structure includes four short double-helical elements and three loops (D, anti-codon, and T loops). Further hydrogen bonds mediate the characteristic L-shaped molecular structure. tRNAs have two regions of fundamental functional importance: the anti-codon, which is responsible for specific mRNA codon recognition, and the 3' end, to which the tRNAs corresponding amino acid is attached (by aminoacyl-tRNA synthetases). tRNAs cope with the degeneracy of the genetic code in two manners: having more than one tRNA (with a specific anti-codon) for a particular amino acid; and 'wobble' base-pairing, i.e. permitting non-standard base-pairing at the 3rd anti-codon position. The record is from RNAcentral. Lineage: Bacteria; Pseudomonadati; Pseudomonadota; Gammaproteobacteria; Pseudomonadales; Pseudomonadaceae.